UAGGGGUGAAAGGCCAAUCAAACCCGGAGAUAUCUCGUUCUCCCCGAAAUAGCUUUAGGGCUAGCGUCGCGCGUUCACCGCCGGAGGUAGAGCACCGGAUGGACGAGGGGGCUUCGCCGCCUACCGAAUCCAACCGAACUCCGAAUGCCGGCGGCCCAGAGCGCGGCAGUCAGAGCAUGUGGGCUAAGCUGUGUGCUCGAGAGGGAAACAGCCCGGACCGCCCGCUAAGGUCCCCAAGUUCCAGCCGAGUGGCAAAGGAUGUGCGUCCGCCCAGACAACCAGGAUGUUGGCUUAGAAGCAGCCAUGCAUUCAAAGAGUGCGUAACAGCUCACUGGUCGAGUGGACAUGCGCCGACAAUACACGGGGCUAAGCUGGACACCGAAGCGGCGGGAUUUUAAUUCAUUAGAAUCGGUAGGGGAGCUUCCCAUGGGCGGAGAAGCCGGAGGGCGACCGACGGUGGAGCGCAUGGGAGUGAGAAUGCUGGCAUGAGUAGCGAGAGACGAGAGAGUAACUCGUCCGCCGUGAACCCGAGGUUUCCUGGGCAAGGCUAAUCCUCCCAGGGUCAGUCGGGGGCUAAGGCGAGGCCGGGAGGCGUAGCCGACGCGCAGCAGGCAGACAUUCCUGCACCGCGCACGCGGCGCUACGACCGACGGGGCGACGGAUGGGGGUGGCUCGGCGGGGUUCUGGACGUCCCCGUGAUGGAGCGCGGCCCGCGGACCAGGGAAAUCCGGUCCGCAUCAAGGGCGAGGCUCCGGACGAAGCGACUGAGCGAAGCGAGUGAGCCCGAGGUCCCUAGAAAAACCCCUAGGCAGGCGCGUGCGCGCCCGUACCGCAAACCGACACAGGUGGGUGGGUAGAACAUACCGAGGCGAUCGGGUCAACCAUGGUCAAGGAACUCGGCACAAUGGCCCCGUAACUUCGGGAGAAGGGGUGCCCGCGCGUACGUGAACGGACUUGCUCCGGGAGCGGAGGCGGGCCGCAGUGGAGAGGCCCAAGCGACUGUUUACCAAAAACACAGGACUCUGCAGAAGCCGCAAGGCGACGUAUAGGGUCUGACGCCUGCCCGGUGCCGGAAGGUCACGCGGAGGAGUUAGCCAUUUCGGCGAAGCCCCGAAGCCAAGCCCCGGUAAACGGCGGCCGUAACUAUAACGGUCCUAAGGUAGCGAAAUUCCUUGUCGGGUAAGUUCCGACCUGCACGAAAGGCGCAACGACUUGGGCGCUGUCUCGACCAUGGACCCGGUGAAAUUGCACUGGUCGUGAAGAUGCGACUUACCCGCGGAAGGACGGAAAGACCCCGUGAACCUUCACUGCAGCUUGGCAUUGGCCGCUGGUCCCGCGUGUAGAGGAUAGGCAGGAGGCAUCGAUCCGGAGGCGCCAGCCCCCGGGGAGCCGCCCUUGGAAUACUGCCCUCGCGCGACCGGCGUCCUAACCCGAGGCCGUCAACCGGCUCGGGGACCGUGCCAGGCGGGCAGUUUGACUGGGGCGGUCGCCUCCUAAAGGGUAACGGAGGCGCGCGAAGGUCCGCUCGGGACGGUCGGCAACCGUCCUUUUGAAUGCAAGAGUACAAGCGGGCUUGACUGCGAGGCCCACAAGCCGAGCAGGUGCGAAAGCAGGCUCUAGUGAUCCGGCGGCCCCGAGUGGGUGGGCCGUCGCUCAACGGAUAAAAGGUACUCCGGGGAUAACAGGCUGAUCUUGCCCAAGAGUCCACAUCGACGGCAAGGUUUGGCACCUCGAUGUCGGCUCAUCGCAUCCUGGGGCUGUAGCAGGUCCCAAGGGUUGGGCUGUUCGCCCAUUAAAGCGGUACGCGAGCUGGGUUCAGAACGUCGUGAGACAGUUCGGUCCCUAUCCUCCG
This 1852-nucleotide ribosomal RNA is filed under the name human gut metagenome. RNAcentral's name for it is "bacterial LSU rRNA". It matches the Rfam family "Bacterial large subunit ribosomal RNA", at positions 816 to 2647 of the family's 2925-position model. The record is from RNAcentral.